GCACAAUGGGCGCAAGCCUGAUGCAGCCAUGCCGCGUGUAUGAAGAAGGCCUUCGGGUUGUAAAGUACUUUCAGCAGUGAGGAAGGUGGGUAUGUUAAUAGCAUAUUCAUUUGACGUUAGCUGCAGAAGAAGCACCGGCUAACUCCGUGCCAGCAGCCGCGGUAAUACGGAGGGUGCGAGCGUUAAUCGGAAUUACUGGGCGUAAAGCGCAUGCAGGUGGUUUGUUAAGUCAGAUGUGAAAGCCCGGGGCUCAACCUCGGAAUUGCAUUUGAAACUGGCAAACUAGAGUACGUUGUAGAGGGGGUAGAAUUUCAGGUGUAGCGGUGAAAUGCGUAGAGAUCUGAAGGAAUACCGGUGGCGAAGGCGGCCCCCUGGACAGAUACUGACACUCAGAUGCGAAAGCGUGGGGAGCAAACAGGAUUAGAUACCCUGGUAG
RNAcentral lists this ribosomal RNA (436 nucleotides) under uncultured bacterium. Its description in RNAcentral is "bacterial SSU rRNA". It matches the Rfam family "Bacterial small subunit ribosomal RNA", at positions 366 to 793 of the family's 1533-position model. The record is from RNAcentral.